AGAGUUUGAUCAUGGCUCAGAGCGAACGCUGGCGGCGUGCUUAACACAUGCAAGUCGAACGGGAAUUUGUAGCAAUACAGAUUCUCGUGGCGAACGGGUGCGUAACACGUGGAUAACCUUCCUUGAGGUGGGGAAUAACCCAGUGAAAAUUGGGCUAAUACCGCAUAACAUGACGAUGCCACAUGGUGUUGUCUUCAAAGGAGCAAUUCGCCACAAGAGGGAUCCGCGGCCGAUUAGCUAGUUGGCGAGGUAACGGCUCACCAAGGCGAUGAUCGGUAGCCGGACUGAGAGGUUGACCGGCCACACUGGAACUGAGACACGGUCCAGACUCCUACGGGAGGCAGCAGUGGGGAAUCUUGCACAAUGGACGAAAGUCUGAUGCAGCAACGCCGCGUGGGGGAUGAAGCUUCUCGGAGUGUAAACCCCUUUCGGCCCGGACGAAUGCCCGCAAGGGCUUGACGGUACGGGUAUAAGAAGCCCCGGCUAACUACGUGCCAGCAGCCGCGGUAAGACGUAGGGGGCCAGCGUUGCUCGGAAUUACUGGGCGUAAAGGGUCCGUAGGCGGUGCGGUAAGUUGGGAGUGAAAUCUCUGGGCUUAACUCAGAGGCUGCUUCCAAUACUACCGUGCUCGAGUGCGAGAGAGGCAAGUGGAAUUGCGGGUGUAGCGGUGAAGUGCGUAGAUAUCCGCAGGAACAUCCGAGGCGAAAGCGGCUUGCUGGAUCGCAACUGACGCUGAGGGACGAAAGCUAGGGGAGCAAACAGGAUUAGAUACCCUGGUAGUCCUAGCCCUAAACCAUCAGGACUUGGGGUUUGCCCUGUACGGGGCAAGUCCCGUAGCUAACGCGUUAAGUCCUGCGCCUGGGGAGUACGGUCGCAAGACUGAAACUCAAAGGAAUUGACGGGGGCCCGCACAAGCGGUGGAACAUGUGGUUCAAUUCG
This 939-nucleotide ribosomal RNA is filed under the name uncultured bacterium. RNAcentral's name for it is "bacterial SSU rRNA". It matches the Rfam family "Bacterial small subunit ribosomal RNA", at positions 8 to 953 of the family's 1533-position model. The record is from RNAcentral.